This 3612-nucleotide long non-coding RNA is filed under the name Homo sapiens (human). Its description in RNAcentral is "HSALNT0351536". Lineage: Eukaryota; Metazoa; Chordata; Mammalia; Primates; Hominidae. The record is from RNAcentral.
AGCCACCGCGCCCAGACAAUAACAUUUCUAAUUUAUUAUUCCUGAAGUCAUUUAUAACCCAGAGACUACUUACAUAUGUUCUCACCAAUGAAAUUACUCCCUUUAUUUUCACACUGAAAGGACAAAUUCAUCCCUGUUUUCAUCUUUACUUUUUUUUUAUUUUCAUAAUUACAACCUUACGUAAAACUUUGAUUAGAAUGAAAAAUGUAAUUUUAAUAGGACACCUGUAUUUCAUAUUAACUAAGGCUGGGCAAGACUAAAAUUCUACUUAUGUCUUUCCCCUUUACACACUUUCAAUUGCUUUUUGGAUAAUGUUCUUUACUAGUGAAAAAAGAUACAUGGUAUAAAUAUACUCAUUUAUGAAGAUUUCUCUAGUGAUGAUGUGAAGAUAUCACUGAAGUUGAAGCUUUUCCCAGAUAAAAUAGGAUGACCAUUGAGUUAAUGAAGUUUUAAGAGCUGAGAACCUUCAACUAGGAACUGGAUAUUAGCAGCAACGCAGGAGCUCAAGAGCUCAGGUUUUGAUUAUGAGAUAAAACUGGUCUUAAAUUCUAGAGCAACCAUUUGAGUAAUCUUGGGCAAAUUAGUGAUUUCCAAAUUCACAAGGCUAAAACAGAACUCUUGCUCCCCCAACCCCAACCUGGUCUUCCUUUAUUCUUCCCCAUGUCAAUUAGAGGCGGCAUCACCACAUAUUCAGUGAUCACGCCAAAAAUCUAAGCUAUUUUUUAUUUUAUUUUUCUCUUUUACUCACUACACAUUCAAUCAUUAGCAUCUCCGAGUGUGUUUCUCUCUCUCUCCUUUUCUUUCUACCAUUGCUAUCCACACACAAACCACCAUCAUAUAAUGCUUGAAUUAUUUCAAGAACUUCCUAAUUUUCCUCCAUACAAUUCAUUCAACAAACAGCAUCCAGAGUGUUAUUUUUUAAUAUAAAUUGUCAUUUACUCCCCUGCUUAUAACUCUCUAGUGAUUCUUCAUCAUAAAUUAAACAUUUAAAUCCCUCCACCAGGCUCACAAUGACCUGUAUGAUCUUGCCCUACUUAUAUAUUCAGUUUCUUUCUAUAACAUUCUCCUUCUUACCCAUUAUGAUCUAGCUCCUUUAGUUCUAUCUGUAAUGUUCAUCCUUUUUGUCCUUCAGACUUCAUCUUAAAUGUUACCUUGAUCUCACCAGUCUAAAGGAGACACCAAGUUACUAAAAUAAUAUAAACUUGUAUUAUUGCUUUUUGUUUUAUUUACUUCUAUACUUUCUGUAUCUGGCACAUAAAAUGUGUUCCUUAAAUAUUUGCUGAAUGAAUGAAUGAACUUAAAGGAAAAAAAAUUUGUUACUGUAAUGCAGAUAAUUCUACCUACCUGUCAGGCUUGGACUAGAAGAUAAAUGAGGCAAGAUAAGUUGAGUGUUUAGCACAGUACCUGGGGCAAAAUAAGACUUCGUAAAUGAUUGCCACUUGUGUUUUUGUUAAAACAGGGACUACAAUAAGGUCUUACAAAGGACUUCUUAUUGAGUAAUAAUAUCUCUCCUAAGUGUAAGAUUCUAAGGACUUUUUUCCAGUGGAAAUUAUUAAAAUAUAGGGGUUUUAUAUGGGCUAGUGAAUGAAUUAUUGAAUGAAUGAUGUUCAGCAUUUUAAGCUAACCUGAAUCAUACUAUUGCUGAUGUAUGUAACACACCUUUAUUCCUUAUUUCUUUACCAUCCUGAGAUUCUAAAGACUACCAUAUUUAACUUUCCUAUGUAUCAGAAGAAACCUGAAAAUUAUAAACUAGAAGGAUUCGACAAAACAAAGAAGCAGUUUGGGAUUUAAAGAGAUCUAGGAAUACGUUAUUUCUACCACUUGCUGAUGAGCUUCAGAUAACCACCUAUAUAUGCUGAGCCUCAAUUUUCUUACGCCACUUCUUUACAGACUUAUUGGAAACGAUGAAUAAGAUACUGAAUGUAAUUAAUUUAGCACAAUGAUUUAGCAGGUGACUGAUAUUCAAUUAAUAGUACAUUUUCUCCAAGUGUGUCACUGAGAAAUAGAUCUAAAAAAAGCUCAGGAAUUCUGUUCUUGUGUUAAUAUGUGAGCUUAGGCUGAUUUCAAUGUUGUUUAGGCUUUCUUGUAUUUCUUUACCCUGUUCUUGGAGGUGCCAGUGUGGCCAUGCUGCCUACUAGGUUUUCUUCUCAUAUACUCAGUUUCACUGGUGCUAUGUGCAACUACACUAUUUUUGUAAGUGGUAGUAAUUUCUUUGAAACACAAAGCCAAAAUUAAUAAGUAGUGACAGCUUAUAGGGGUGAAGUAAUCAUUUUUAAAAAGGUCUUGGCAGUUGGUUUCUUGAAUAAGAAAUGCACUUGUUUCCAUAAAUUGGCAACAAAAACUGAAACACAGAAUGCUGCCCAGAAUCUUGAGAAAUUUGUACUUGAAUUAUUGUUAUGGUCCAUUAAACUCACUCUAAAAACUUUAAUAUGUUUCUGCUUCAGAGACUUGUUUGUCCAUGUACAGCCAUGUAACCACACUAUUUACAAUGCCCAAAGAGCAAAUUGUUUGAUUCAGCUGCAGCAAUGGUCUUUCCACAGAGAAAGUUUGCAGUUUUCAACAGCCCUAAGUGCUGCAUUCUCCUAACUGAGGUAAAUACUCUGCAUUGUUUUCUUCCCAGGUGAUUCAAGCUGCAAGAUAGAUGACUAGGACUCAAAUACCGGAAAAGAGAGCUCCACAGAACUUUUUCUCCAAGUGUGUCACCGAGAAAUAGUCCUGAAAGCAGAAUACCCCAACUGGCACAAGAGAACCACUGAUUUGCUUCCUGUCACCACAGAUCGUGCACACUGAGGAAGACAGACAACAAAUAACUCUGCGGAUAGAUCAACAUAGUGAGGAACUGAGUUCUCCAAACAGCAGCUACAUGAGUGAGCCAUUCUGCAAAUGAAUCAUAAGCCCAGGCAAGCCUUUAUGUGACAACUGUUUGAAGAUAACCAUACAUAAAGACUUGAUCCAAAACCAUUCAACUAAAUCACUCCAGAUUCUUGACCCACCAAAAAAAAUGUGAGAUAAGUGUUUUGUUUUGUUCGAGUUGUUUUUUAUUUCUUUAAUUUUGGUAAUAUAUAUAUAACAAAAUUCACCAUUUUAGCCAUUUUUAAGUGUAUAAUUUAAUUGGCAUCUAGUACCCUGAUAUUUUUUUACUGCCAUCACCACCACCCAUCAAAAGAACUCUUUUCUUUUUAAUUUGAAAAGUAUUACUGUUAAUUUUACAUCAAAUGAUUCAUAAAAUUUACCAGUGCAGUCAUCUACUCCGGGCUUUUUUAUUUUUUUCCUUGAGAAGGUUUUGAUUACACAUUUAAUAUCUUUACUAAUUACAGGUUUAUUCAGAUUUUCUAUUUCUUCAUGACUUAUUCUUAGUAGAUUGCAUGUUUCUACAAAUUUGUCCAUUUCAUUAAGAUUAUCCAAUUUGUUGGCAUACAAUUGCUGGUAGUACUUUCUUAUAAUCCUUUUCAUUGAUGUAAAAUAAGUAGUAAUAUUCCCUCUUUUAUUUCUAAUUUUAGUUAUUUGAAUCUUCUUUUCUUCCCUUAGUUUGUUUAGCUAACGGUUGUCAACAUUCUUGCUCUUUUCAAAGAACCAGUUAUUGGUUUUGUUGAAUUUCUCUAUUGUUUUUCU